GUGGGUUGGUCGAGAAAAUGGAGCUGAAAGAUGGUUUGGGAGGAGCGAGGGAGGAUUAGAGGGAGAUGUGAGACAGAGAGAAUAUCGGGGACAGGAUUUUGACUUUGUUGUUAGGAGCAGAGAGUAGGGAUGAGGGUUUUGAAGUGAGAAGAAAAUUAGUUGGGAGAAUGGUUUAGAGAGAGAGAGA
Molecule: long non-coding RNA, 187 nt
Organism: Telopea speciosissima
Lineage: Eukaryota; Viridiplantae; Streptophyta; Magnoliopsida; Proteales; Proteaceae
Exons: 4
Source: RefSeq, a predicted model, not a curated record